GGGUUAGGGUGGUGGUUAAGGGUUAGGGUGGUGGUUAAGGGUUAGGGUGGUAAUUAAGGGUUAGGGUUAGGGUGGUGAUUAAGGGUUAGGGUUGGUGGUUAAGGGUUAUGGUGGUGGUUAAGGGUUAGGGUUAGGGUGGUGGUUAAGGUUUAGGGUGGUGGUUAAGGGUUAGGGUUAGGGUGGUGGUUAAGGGUUAGGGUGGUGGUUAAGGGUUAGGGUGGUGGUUAGGGUUAGGGUUAGGGUGGUGGGUUAGGGUUAGGGUGGUGGUUAAGGGUUAGGGUUAGGGUGGUGGUUAAGGGUUAGGGUUAGGGUGGUGGUUAAGGGUUAGGGUGGUGGUUAAGGGUUAGGGUGGUGGUUA
This is a long non-coding RNA of Oncorhynchus tshawytscha (Chinook salmon), 358 nucleotides long. Lineage: Eukaryota; Metazoa; Chordata; Actinopteri; Salmoniformes; Salmonidae. The record is from Ensembl.